AGAGAAACAACUGGUUAUGAACCUACCCAUAGAUACACAUGGGUUGACCAACCAAAGUUGGGCUCGUGUGUAGUCUGUGUGGAUUCUAGUACCCACUAAGGAAUUAAAGUAAUUUCUUGAAUUGGAGGUUGAGGCUACCAGUUCGUAAAAAUAUUGGGAGAAACUUUAGACUAAAGUCCAAGUCUUUAGUAUUAAUAAUUUAUAUACUAAUAA
Molecule: long non-coding RNA, 213 nt
Filed under: Elaeis guineensis (African oil palm)
Lineage: Eukaryota; Viridiplantae; Streptophyta; Magnoliopsida; Arecales; Arecaceae
Description: long non-coding RNA (EGUI_LNC072375)
Source: RNAcentral